This 777-nucleotide ribosomal RNA is filed under the name Candidatus Regiella insecticola. Its description in RNAcentral is "bacterial SSU rRNA". It matches the Rfam family "Bacterial small subunit ribosomal RNA", at positions 72 to 842 of the family's 1533-position model. The record is from RNAcentral. Lineage: Bacteria; Pseudomonadati; Pseudomonadota; Gammaproteobacteria; Enterobacterales; Enterobacteriaceae.
GGAGUAGCUUGCUACUCUGCCGGCGAGCGGCGGACGGGUGAGUAAAGUCUGGGRAUCUGGCUUAUGGAGGGGGAUAACCAUUGGAAACGGUGGCUAAUACCGCAUGAUGUCGCAAGACCAAAGUGGGGGACCUUARGGCCUCACGCCAUGAGAUGAACCCAGAUGAGAUUAGCUAGUAGGUGCGGUAAUGGCGUACCUAGGCGACGAUCUCUAGCUGGUCUGAGAGGAUGACCAGCCACACUGGAACUGAGAGACGGUCCAGACUCCUACGGGAGGCAGCAGUGGGGAAUAUUGCACAAUGGGCGGAAGCCUGAUGCAGCCAUGCCGCGUGUGUGAAGAAGGCCUUAGGGUUGUAAAGCACUUUCAGCGGGGAGGAAGGCGGUAAGAGUAAUAUGCUUAUCRAUUGACGUUACCCGCAAAAGAAGCACCGGCUAACUCCGUGCCAGCAGCCGCGGUAAUACGGAGGGUGCGAGCGUUAAUCGGAAUAACUGGGCGUAAAGRGCAUGUAGGCGGUAAGUUAAGUCAGAUGUGAAAUCCCCGAGCUUAACUUGGGAACGGCAUUUGAGACUGGCUGGCUAGAGUUUUGUAGAGGGGGGUAGAAUUCCAGGUGUAGCGGUGAAAUGCGUAGAGAUCUGGAGGAAUACCGGUGGCGAAGGCGGCCCCCUGGACAAGGACUGACGCUGAGGUGCGAAAGCGUGGGUAGCAAACAGGAUUAGAUACCCUGGUAGUCCACGCUGUAAACGAUGUCGAUUUGGAGGUUGUGACCUAGUGUUAUGG